Molecule: ribosomal RNA, 681 nt
Filed under: uncultured Bacilli bacterium
Lineage: Bacteria; Bacillati; Bacillota; Bacilli
Description: bacterial SSU rRNA
Rfam family: Bacterial small subunit ribosomal RNA
Source: RNAcentral
AGUAGAACGCUGAAGCUUGGUGCUUGCACCGAGCGGAUGAGUUGCGAACGGGUGAGUAACGCGUAGGUAACCUGCCUCUUAGCGGGGGAUAACUAUUGGAAACGAUAGCUAAUACCGCAUAAAAGUCGAUAUCGCAUGAUAUUGAUUUGAAAGGUGCAAUUGCAUCACUAAGAGAUGGACCUGCGUUGUAUUAGCUAGUUGGUGAGGUAACGGCUCACCAAGGCGACGAUACAUAGCCGACCUGAGAGGGUGAUCGGCCACACUGGGACUGAGACACGGCCCAGACUCCUACGGGAGGCAGCAGUAGGGAAUCUUCGGCAAUGGGGGCAACCCUGACCGAGCAACGCCGCGUGAGUGAAGAAGGUUUUCGGAUCGUAAAGCUCUGUUGUAAGAGAAGAACGAGUGUGAGAGUGGAAAGUUCACACUGUGACGGUAACUUACCAGAAAGGGACGGCUAACUACGUGCCAGCAGCCGCGGUAAUACGUAGGUCCCGAGCGUUAUCCGGAUUUAUUGGGCGUAAAGCGAGCGCAGGCGGUUAGAUAAGUCUGAAGUUAAAGGCUGUGGCUUAACCAUAGUACGCUUUGGAAACUGUUUAACUUGAGUGCAGAAGGGGAGAGUGGAAUUCCAUGUGUAGCGGUGAAAUGCGUAGAUAUAUGGAGGAACACCGGUGGCGAAAGCGG